This 500-nucleotide ribosomal RNA is filed under the name uncultured bacterium. RNAcentral's name for it is "partial 16S ribosomal RNA". It matches the Rfam family "Bacterial small subunit ribosomal RNA", at positions 30 to 523 of the family's 1533-position model. The record is from RNAcentral.
AUUGAACGCUAGCGGGAUGCCUUACACAUGCAAGUCGAACGGCAGCGCGGACUUCGGUCUGGCGGCGAGUGGCGAACGGGUGAGUAAUGUAUCGGAACGUGCCCAGUAGCGGGGGAUAACUACUCGAAAGAGUAGCUAAUACCGCAUACGCCCUACGGGGGAAAGGGGGGGAUCGCAAGACCUCUCACUAUUGGAGCGGCCGAUAUCGGAUUAGCUAGUUGGUGAGGUAAAGGCUCACCAAGGCGACGAUCCGUAGCUGGUGUGAGAGGACGACCAGCCACACUGGGACUGAGACACGGCCCAGACUCCUACGGGAGGCAGCAGUGGGGAAUUUUGGACAAUGGGGGCAACCCUGAUCCAGCCAUUCCGCGUGUGGGAUGAAGGCCUUCGGGUUGUAAAGCACUUUUGGCAGGAAAGAAAUCGCACGGAUUAAUACUCUGUGUGGAUGACGGUACCUGCAGAAUAAGCACCGGCUAACUACGUGCCAGCCGCCGCCGUAA